UACGGGGGGGGCAAGCGUUGUUCGGAAUUACUGGGCGUAAAGGGCGCGUAGGCGGUUUGUUAAGUUGGAUGUGAAAACUCUGGGCUUAACCCAGAGCCUGCAUCCAAAACUAGCAGACUAGAGUUCUGGAGGGGAUAGCGGAAUUCCUGGUGUAGCGGUGAAAUGCGUAGAUAUCAGGAGGAACACCGGUGGCGAAGGCGGCUAUCUGGACAGAGUCUGACGCUGAGGCGCGAAAGCUAGGGGAGCAAACGGG
RNAcentral lists this ribosomal RNA (253 nucleotides) under uncultured bacterium. RNAcentral's name for it is "partial 16S ribosomal RNA". It matches the Rfam family "Bacterial small subunit ribosomal RNA", at positions 524 to 776 of the family's 1533-position model. The record is from RNAcentral.